UACGGAGGGUGCGAGCGUUGUCCGGAAUCAUUGGGCGUAAAGGGCGCGUAGGUGGCGGGACAAGCGUGCGGUGAAAGCUCGGGGCUCAACCCCGCGUCGGCCGUGCGAACUGUUUUGCUUGAGCACUGUAGAGGCAGGCGGAAUUCCGGGUGUAGCGGUGGAAUGCGUAGAGAUGUGGAGGAACACCAGUGGCGAAGGCGGCUUUUUGGUCUGUAACUGACGCUGAGGCGCGAAAGCGUGGGGAGCAAACAGG
This 253-nucleotide ribosomal RNA is filed under the name uncultured bacterium. RNAcentral describes it as "partial 16S ribosomal RNA". It matches the Rfam family "Bacterial small subunit ribosomal RNA", at positions 524 to 776 of the family's 1533-position model. The record is from RNAcentral.